AAUCAUGGCUCAGGAUGAACGCUAGCUACAGGCUUAACACAUGCAAGUCGAGGGGCAGCAUGUCGGUUGCUUGCAACCGAUGAUGGCGACCGGCGCACGGGUGAGUAACGCGUAUCCAACCUACCCUUGUCCAUCGGAUAACCCGUCGAAAGGCGGCCUAACACGAUAUGCGGUUCUCAGCAGGCAUCUAACGAGAACGAAAUGUGAAGGAGAAGGAUGGGGAUGCGU
Molecule: ribosomal RNA, 228 nt
Filed under: uncultured bacterium
Lineage: Bacteria
Description: partial 16S ribosomal RNA
Rfam family: Bacterial small subunit ribosomal RNA
Source: RNAcentral